Molecule: ribosomal RNA, 518 nt
Filed under: uncultured bacterium
Lineage: Bacteria
Description: partial 16S ribosomal RNA
Source: RNAcentral
AGCGACUGUGCAGGUUACCGCGGCUGCUGGCACGGAGUUAGCCGGUGCUUCUUCUGUGAGUGAUGUCCUUCCUGCCGGCUAUUAACCCGCAGGCCUUCUUCCUCACUGAAAGUGCUUUACAACCCGAAGGCCUUCUUCACACACGCGGCAUGGCUGGAUCAGGGUUGCCCCCAUUGUCCAAUAUUCCCCACUGCUGCCUCCCGUAGGAGUCUGGGCCGUGUCUCAGUCCCAGUGUGGCUGAUCAUCCUCUCAGACCAGCUACGGAUCGUCGCCUUGGUGAGCCGUUACCUCACCAACCAGCUAAUCCGACAUAGGCUCAUCCGAUAGCGCGAGGCCCGAAGGUCCCCCGNUUUCCCCCGUAGGGCGUAUGCGGUAUUAGCCUGGGUUUCCCCAGGUUAUCCCCCACUACCGGGCAGAUUCCUAUGCAUUACUCACCCGUCCGCCGCUCGCCACCAGGGAGCAAGCUCCCCGUGCUGCCGCUCGACUUGCAUGUGUUAGGCCUGCCGCCAGCGUUCAAU